AUGAAUGAGGAUUUGAGUAAGCCCUACACUAAUGAGGAAAUCGGGGCUGCUCUAUUCCAGAUGGGUCCUACUAAAGCUCCUGGACCUGAUGGCUUUCCAGCCCUCUUCUAUCAGAAUCAUUGGGACUUCUUGGGAGAGGAGAUUUGUCGAGCUGUGAGAUGCUUUUUGGAUGGAAGUUCAGUUUCAGAGGGUUUUUGUGACUCGGUGAUCGUCCUUAUUCCUAAAGUGACACGACCCAAGCACCUGAAGAAUUUCCGCCCAAUUAGUCUAUGUAAUGUUCUUUACAAGAUAGCCUCGAAGGUUUUGGCCAAUCGUUUGAAGUUAUUGCUCCCUGCUGUCAUCUCUGAGUUUCAAAGUGCAUUCGUGCCUGGAAGAUUGAUCACUGACAGCUCUCUUAUCGCUUAUGAAUCUCUUCACACCAUCAGACAUCAGCGAGCUAAACAACCCUUCUUUGCCUUGAAGAUUGACAUGACGAAAGCCUAUGACCGUGUUGAGUGGAGUUUUCUUCAUGGUUGUCUCUCCAGACUUGGUUUUAACCCUGCUUGGAUCAAUUCAGUGAUGAGGUGUGUAACCAAUGUCUGCUAUGCUGUAAGGGUUAAUGGUGAGCUUACUGCACCUGUUGUUCCAUCGAGAGGAAUUCGUCAGGGUGAUCCUAUCAGCCCCUAUUUGUUUCUGCUCUGCACCGAAGGACUGUCAAGUCUGUUACUCCAAAAGGAGAGUUGUGGUGAGCUACAUGGCAUUAGGAACGGUCGCUCCGGUCCUCCUAUCUCACAUCUCCUGUUUGCCGAUGACAGUAUCUUCUUUGCAAGAUCUGAUGCUCGUAGCGUGGCUGCUUUGAAGACUACUCUGGACCUAUAUUGCUCUGGUUCUGGUUAG
Molecule: ribosomal RNA, 876 nt
Filed under: Triticum aestivum (bread wheat)
Lineage: Eukaryota; Viridiplantae; Streptophyta; Magnoliopsida; Poales; Poaceae
Description: partial small subunit ribosomal RNA
Source: RNAcentral